RNAcentral lists this ribosomal RNA (427 nucleotides) under uncultured bacterium. RNAcentral describes it as "bacterial SSU rRNA". It matches the Rfam family "Bacterial small subunit ribosomal RNA", at positions 356 to 773 of the family's 1533-position model. The record is from RNAcentral.
GGGGAAUAUUGGGCAAUGGGCGAAAGCCUGACCCAGCCACGCCGCGUGAGUGAUGAAGGCCUUCGGGUCGUAAAGCUCUGUGGGGAGGGAAGAAACCUUCCAGGGAACAAUACCCCUGGGACUUGACGGUACCUCCUUAGCAAGCACCGGCUAACUCCGUGCCAGCAGCCGCGGUAAUACAGAGGGUGCAAACGUUGUUCGGAAUUACUGGGCGUAAAGCGUGUGUAGGCGGCUACGUAAGUCGGAUGUGAAAGCCCCAGGCUCAACCUGGGAAGUGCACUCGAUACUGCGUAGCUUGAGUAUCGGAGAGGUUGGUGGAAUUCUCGGUGUAGAGGUGAAAUUCGUAGAUAUCGAGAGGAACACCGGUGGCGAAGGCGGCCAACUGGACGAAUACUGACGCUGAGACACGAAAGCGUGGGGAGCAAAC